CCUGGUGGGAUAUUCAUUGCAGCGCAUGGAACAGGAGUGCUGUCUCUGUGAUCACAGCAAUUUGAGACCUAGCCACUCCCAGCAGCAGUGAUACUUUUUCUUUGCCUUCUAAAAGAGACAUGAUGCAAGUUCAUUUGGACAUAUAGAGGCUGCUGUUUCACUUUGGGCCUAGACCAUCUCAUCCCUGCAGCCCCUCAGGAAGGGAAUGGAACAGCAUGGAAUGCCAUCUGCUGAGGUGUUGAUGUGAGGAGCUUGAAUCCUAGCAUUGCUGGAAUUCCCAAGAAGAAACCCAAGAUCUACUGUACAGAGAAGGCCAGCCAGAGACAGUGUAUGGGGGGCAGGGGAGAGGGGGGGAUGCAGGGUCACAUGGCCCCCCCACCCCUGAUUUGCUGCUUGACUUGUAUUGAGCAUGCUCAGUAACAGUGCUGAAGCCAGCUGUCCUCAUUCUGCUCUCCCCUUAUCGGCAGGCAAGAGUGGUCUCUGCCCAGCAGUGAGUUUCGUAUCUGCAGGCUCCUCAGUCAUUCUUCUCCUUGUAGAAGGGGAACCCAAAGCCAGAUUCGGUCAGUAUGGAUAAUGUAUUGAAUUGGUGCUGAAGACUCUACCCACUAUGCACCUCAGAUCUGUCUCUCUCAAGUUGCUCCAUCACCACAGUAUCUAAGGGGCGAAUAUGAGCAUUAUAAAAUAGUAUCAUUGCUGUCUGGUUACAGAGGGCUUGUCUACACUACAAAAUUAGGUCAACUAAUUUAGGUCGACCUACAGCCAUAGCAGUAAUUCAAUUGGCUGUUGGUGUCCACACUACCCUCCUACUGCCAAUGGUGCGUGCCCACACCAGGAGCACUUGCAUGGCAUCAACUGAACUGGGGCAUUGUGGGGCACAGACAGCUGCACAGGGCUCACAGAUGGAACCCCCCAU
Dermochelys coriacea (leatherback sea turtle) is the source of this 913-nucleotide long non-coding RNA. RefSeq lists it as uncharacterized. The record is from RefSeq and is a predicted model, not a curated record. The transcript has 3 exons. Lineage: Eukaryota; Metazoa; Chordata; Testudines; Dermochelyidae.